AGACGGAAAUAUACUGGCUGGGGAUCUCAAGCACAAUGGAAAGAAAGCAGUGACAGGAUAUAGUGGAGACAGCACACUUAGUUUUAUAUAUCUAGAGAAGCAUUUAUCUAAUCGUGAUGAAACUUGCUAGAAGUUCAUUCUUUAGCACAAUAUAUUGUGUAUCUACAUCUAGGGAUAUAUGGAGUCCUUGUCUAUCUGUAUGUAAGUAUGUCAAAUGUCUAGAGAUGUGCUUUUUCAAACUGAGAUGAAACUUGGUUAGGAGAGGACAUUCUUAGGAUGUUUAUUGUGGAGAGUAUUGGAAUCUGAGGGUAUAAAGGAACAUAUCUUCCAAUGUGGAACUUAAAUAAAAAAAUACGGUGGAUGUAGGCCAUGGUGCUCAACUUUAUCAUGAUACUGUAAGCUGUCAUUUUGAACACAACAUCGGCAGGGGAUGUCGUCACUGGCAUGUUUGUUUUCCUCUAAAGUUAUUUGGUCCCUUUAUAUUAGAUUUUAAGGCAAUUGAUAUAAACUAUGAAAUACUUGUGUUUGAGCAAUUGAAAUACAAAAAAAGAAAGAAAAAGCAAAGAAAAAAACGUGCAGCGAACAUUUCUCAACAAGAAAGCAUGACACCCAUCCACAUUAGCUCCGCCCCGCAUUGUCAAAACUCCUUGCUGCUUCUAUUCAAAACAGGACAAAACAAUCCACACUUUCACUCUUUGACGUUGGAGAGUCCAGCAUCAGACCACAGGUAAGCCACUGCUCUAGCGGCCUCUGUAGUGGCUACUACAUCCAACGCUUACCGCCAUGAACUGAAGGGUUAGAUUAGUACUCAUAAAAAGGAAGCUGUGCUUUGGUGCCCAGAGCAAUGUGUUGAGAUGGGGGAGGGCAUUACGACGCAAUGGAUUCUCCUGUCUUUCCUACAGGACCAGAGGUGCAACAACCAGGAAUAUAAGAAGGAACUGGACACUUUGGAAAGUGAGCUGAAUAAGAAGAGGCCUGGGAUUUCAAACUACUGCAGUCUCUGGAGAAACAAUCAAGAGCAUUUCAGUGAUGGUGAUGAUGGAGAGCUACAGACAGACGGCCAUUUUUGUUCUGACAUUAGAAUUGUUUGCAGAGAGAUGCAGCCUGAUGUACAAGGAAAUGCUGUUGAUGUCGGUGCGGCAAGGCAAAUCGCAGCAAAUCUGAUUGAGAUCGCAGAUCAGCUGGACCAAAGUGUGGUUUCACGGGCCUCGGCUAAUUUAGCCAGACGCAUGCAAGAAAGGAUUUCACAAGACUGGACAGGCUUGCUAUCCUCCGAAGUGGAGCUCUUGAUGCAGCAGGGCAUCCCGGGGCUGCAGCAGUUCUCUCAAGAGAAAGUCAUGCUCACCCUCACCAUGGUGCUAGUGCAGAACAUUGGAGUGCAUGCUCCCACUUUGCUACGCAGCUUUUUCAGUAGUGCUGUGCAAUUUAUUAACGAUAAUCUCCAGAACUUCAUAAGAGAUCAAGGAGGAUGGGGAGGAAUUUAACCAUGGAAAGGGAAUUCAGGCUGCCAGCUCUGGUUAUGUAUCCAACAUUUUCAUGUUACAUGUUUUACCAUGAA
Long non-coding RNA from Polyodon spathula (Mississippi paddlefish), 1558 nucleotides. RefSeq lists it as uncharacterized. The record is from RefSeq and is a predicted model, not a curated record. NCBI's taxonomy places the organism in Eukaryota, Metazoa, Chordata, Actinopteri, Acipenseriformes, Polyodontidae. The transcript is spliced from 6 exons.